AAUGAGGGGGUUAGAUGAGAUGACCUCUAAAGUCCCUUCUAACUCUGACUGAAGUUAUGAGUAUGUCUCAGAACUUAGCAAAAGCAGCCAGGAGAGAUGGUGAGAGGUCACAGCACCCACCAAAAGCAUUUAAAUGUUAGAUCUCUCGGGUGGAGGGAGGGAAGCAGCAAGCUGAGUUGGGACUAUUUUUUCAAGCACUGAUUUCCCUUAAUAGGGCUAAGAGGUCACCAGACCACAGACAGGGAGCAGGGCAUCUGGGCAGCCAGCAGCUCCCAUUGACUCUCAGGGCUGUGAAACAGCAGACACCAGAACUCCCACCCGAGGGCCCGCCGCAGCUCUACAGCUCUCUGCCCCAAAUCCCCAGGAAUGGCCUAACACGCCCCUGGAACAGAAGUCUCCUCCCUUUUUCUCCAGGCACCUUCUGGAUGGGGCAAUCCGUCCUACCCCACCACAUCUUCCUCCCUCACUUGAUAAUCAAAACACUCCUGGGUUUUGAAAAUCAUUUCACUACUCAGCACCUAAGGUUGAGUUAAUCAAGAUUCAAGAUCUAGAAAUCUCUUUGGUGUAUGUCUCUGGAACAGGAUUCUUUGAACCCGAUUCCCCUAAGAGCUGUAAUUAUGUCUUAGCCAAUAUUUGGAUAUGGAAGGGCUGUUGACACUGCUGUCAGUCUCUGAAUGCCUCAUCCCUUCUUUCUUCCUCUAUUAUUAAGUUUUUACACAAAGAUGUGUGGGAAAUCUACAAUCUAACAGUUGAGUCAACUUCUAAGAUUUGGGAGCAGGCUGCCUGUCAAAACAAACUCUGACUUCAAUCUUCACCCACUUCUAACCUGAGAAGAACAAACUAUGAGUGUCAUUUAAAAUAUGCUAGAUUUUUCCUUUCAAAACUAUUCAAAGGGGGAAAAUAUCCAAAUCUCUCCUAUUAAUUACAAAAGAAAUCUGAAUUGCCAUCCAAAAGCAUUUGAGAGGAUGUCACACGUGUCUAUUAAAUAGAACAAGGAGCAGUUGAGAGCUUUUCUCCUCGAGUCUUUAUACAAUAUUCCAACUAUUCAAGAGAAUGAGCAGCCAGUGUCCCCAAACUGCUGGUGGGUGAAGGCAGAUGCAUCUCAGAGGAGACAGAAAACUCUCCUGGAAAGAAUGUCUGUCAUUUCCUCAAUGGUACGGGCUAACCGUGGUCAAACAGAAUUCACUCAACUCCACUCCCCAAGGUCAGAGCGACAGUCAAACAAGCGCCACCCCCAGUUAUGAGUAUGGAAAGAGCGGGCUAAGGCACAAACACGCAAGUGUUCAAGACAGUGACAUAUUCCUUCUCCAACGGUCCACACUGAACAACAACCAAAGCCCACAGCAACAGUGCAGAGCAAAAACCAAAGAAAUCUGACAGUGUUGGGGCGAGCCAAAAGCUCUCUUCCAAGAGGGAGAAUGAAAGCAGCAAGAAAACAAUUUUAGAGCCCUUAAAGUUUGGAAAUUGGACAUGCGUGCCCUCUACAACCCUGAGGCGUCAGGGGUUAUGACAUUUAAUUAUAUAUUCCAACAGUUCCUCCCAUAACGAAUAUCUGAGUUUUGUAUUAGCAGCUGAAAUACAGCUAGCAGUGGGGGCUGAGGGGGAAGAGAAAAAUAUACCACAGGAAGUAUUUUUCUCCUCCUCCAAUCAUUAAGACACCCCGGGGGGAAACAGGCAUGAUGUGUCACCUUUAGAGACGUGGUUGAGUCUGAAACCCCUGUGAGGAGAAAACCUUUUAAAUGACCCUGAACACUGGCUCGCGAUGCCCUGGGGCCCCACUCGUCUCUUCAGACCUCCGAGUCCAUUCUGUAUAACUUCUGAAGUAGGUGUUCUCACUUAAACCCCCAUUCUUCCCCUACCACACCCUCUUAAAAAAAAAAAAAAAAAAAAAAAGAGGUCGGGUUUCCCUGGCUCAAGGAUAACGCUCCCUCCUACUGUCCACCAAUCGCCCGUGUCCAGGACUCAAGUGGCCAUCUCCCAUUUGCGGAAUCAGCGCCGGGCCAAGCCGUGGUUUACACACCCGCUUUACAGUGAUCAAUGGGGCUAUGGAAACAGCAGACACCGCCGGAGCCUGCUGGCCUCCCAUCUGGAGCCUCGCGGGCACCGAAGGUAGGAGGGGGCCCACUCGCGGGUCAAAACAAUCCCUCCCCGGCGCCGGGGGCGGUGUCCCCGCGGAAUCUCCAGCCUCGCGCCUCCCGGGCCGGCGCGCCCCAAGGCGGCACGGCCGCGCUCGCGAGGCCCAGGGAAGUGAAAUCACACAUUCCGGCUCCCAAAUAAGGAGCGAGACUAAAUAAACCUCUGAGAUCCGACUUCUCCAAACCAACCGACCAACCAGCUCAAUGAGUAAUGGGCCUUUUGUGCCCGCAGAAAGAAAGGAAGGAGGGAGGAGAGGACGGGGAACCACAACCUCCGAAAAUCACUUCCUUGAGACGGGGUGAAAUUAGCAGAAGUGGUCCCGGAGCCAACCGUCGCGACUCGGCUGGAUCCCGCUCAAACCCCAAAAUGGCAGAGUCCUCACGAGUCCUCCGAGUCGCCGCCACUCACCCCGGAGAGCUACAAAGAGGAUGAGCUCUUUUCUGGCCUUUCAGAGACCGCAAGGGACAGUGGAAAGAGAACAGAAUUUAGAGACAAAUGACCUGAAUUCAAGUCUAUCCUCGAGUUGAGUCACCUUGAGCAAGCCAUUUAUCUUUUCUUUGUACCUGAAAAAAUGAAAAAAAUAAUAAAAUCGAAUUUCAGAGCUGA
Long non-coding RNA from Equus caballus (horse), 2742 nucleotides. RefSeq lists it as uncharacterized. The record is from RefSeq and is a predicted model, not a curated record. Lineage: Eukaryota; Metazoa; Chordata; Mammalia; Perissodactyla; Equidae.